CGGCAGGUCUAACACAUGCAAGUCGAGCGGUAGAGAGAAGCUUGCUUCUCUUGAGGGCGGCGGACGGGUGAGUAAUACCUAGGAAUCUGCCUGAUAGUGGGGGAUAACGUUCGGAAACGGACGCUAAUACCGCAUACGUCCUACGGGAGAAAGCAGGGGACCUUCGGGCCUUGCGCUAUCAGAUGAGCCUAGGUCGGAUUAGCUAGUUGGUGAGGUAAUGGCUCACCAAGGCUACGAUCCGUAACUGGUCUGAGAGGAUGAUCAGUCACACUGGAACUGAGACACGGUCCAGACUCCUACGGGAGGCAGCAGUGGGGAAUAUUGGACAAUGGGCGAAAGCCUGAUCCAGCCAUGCCGCGUGUGUGAAGAAGGUCUUCGGAUUGUAAAGCACUUUAAGUUGGGAGGAAGGGCAGUUACCUAAUACGUGAUUGUCUUGACGUUACCGACAGAAUAAGCACCGGCUAACUCUGUGCCAGCAGCCGCGGUAAUACAGAGGGUGCAAGCGUUAAUCGGAAUUACUGGGCGUAAAGCGCGCGUAGGUGGUUUGUUAAGUUGAAUGUGAAAUCCCCGGGCUCAACCUGGGAACUGCAUCCAAAACUGGCAAGCUAGAGUAUGGUAGAGGGUAGUGGAAUUUCCUGUGUAGCGGUGAAAUGCGUAGAUAUAGGAAGGAACACCAGUGGCGAAGGCGACUACCUGGACUGAUACUGACACUGAGGUGCGAAAGC
This 725-nucleotide ribosomal RNA is filed under the name uncultured bacterium. Its description in RNAcentral is "bacterial SSU rRNA". It matches the Rfam family "Bacterial small subunit ribosomal RNA", at positions 40 to 760 of the family's 1533-position model. The record is from RNAcentral.